GCCGCCUUCGUCUAGCCCGGUUUAGGACAUCUCGUUCUCAACGAGAAGACCGCGGGUUCAAAUCCCGCAGGCGGCA
This 76-nucleotide transfer RNA is filed under the name Patescibacteria group bacterium. RNAcentral's name for it is "tRNA-Glu". It matches the Rfam family "tRNA". From Rfam's summary of the family: Transfer RNA (tRNA) molecules are approximately 80 nucleotides in length. Their secondary structure includes four short double-helical elements and three loops (D, anti-codon, and T loops). RNAcentral also lists the same sequence under 1 other name. The record is from RNAcentral.